UACGUAGGGUGCAAGCGUUGUCCGGAAUUAUUGGGCGUAAAGAGCUCGUAGGCGGUUUGUCGCGUCUGCUGUGAAAACUCGGGGCUUAACCCCGGGCCUGCAGUGGGUACGGGCAGACUAGAGUGCGGUAGGGGAGACUGGAAUUCCUGGUGUAGCGGUGAAAUGCGCAGAUAUCAGGAAGAACACCAAUGGCGAAGGCAGCUCUCUGGGCAUUAACUGACGCUGAGGAGCGAAAGCAUGGGGAGCGAACAGG
This 253-nucleotide ribosomal RNA is filed under the name uncultured bacterium. RNAcentral describes it as "partial 16S ribosomal RNA". It matches the Rfam family "Bacterial small subunit ribosomal RNA", at positions 524 to 776 of the family's 1533-position model. The record is from RNAcentral.